GCCUCCCCAGGAUUUUAAUCUGAGCAGUUCUUAACUAAGACUAGGAAAUUUUGGUUGGGAAA
Molecule: non-coding RNA, 62 nt
Filed under: Macaca mulatta (Rhesus monkey)
Lineage: Eukaryota; Metazoa; Chordata; Mammalia; Primates; Cercopithecidae
Source: RNAcentral